CUGGGGAACUGAAUGACUGAAUAAUACAUUAAGACGAUUUGGAGUGUUUGAGCCUGGUUCCUCAGCAGAUACCUGUGUUACGGCUUCUUGGUAACAGAACCAUUCUGUUCUUAGACCUGGGAAUGAAAUCAUACUGAUUGCAACACUCUGUAGCUGCCCCAGCUAGAUCAGAACUGUUGUUGUUCUAGAAUCACCAGAGUCAAGAGAAUCCUUGACUUGAAGAUUUUAAGGGCUAGAGAGGAGCCCUGUCCUGGUGUCUCAGGGCCAGGCCAAAUCAGCCUAACUGUUAAUAUGAAAUUUGACCUCUGUAGGACCAGAAGUGUUGUAGUGUCCAUGUGGUUGGAGGGACACAAGCGUUUAUGAUGCAACAACUAAGUAGAGGAUGCAAGAAAUGGCAUUAUUGCUAGGCAACUUGGCUCAUUAACUCUUACGGCUUUGGUCAAGGCGCUACCCUGUGCAAACUAGCCCUCCCCCCCUCUUCCCUGACACCCGGGAUGGUUGAUUUUGAUUGUCAACUUGAUUGGCUUGAAAGCACCUAGGAGAUCAGUAAAGCACUCUUUUGGAUGGGUCACAGGAUGCGAUCUUGAGGACUGUGUCUGGUCCCUGCCCCCUUCAACUCCUGCUCUCUUCCUGCUUCCCAACUGCCAGGAGUUGAGCAGCUUUCCUCCGCCACACCACUGAAACCUAUGAAACUGAGCCAAAUAAACCCUUUCUCCUUUAACUUGUCCUGCUCAGGUCCUCUGCGCAGGGAAAGCCGCGGCCGCCGGCCCAGCUCUCAGGGAGGCUGAGAGGAAGAACCUCACUGCAGGAAGAAGAGGCUGCUGCAGAGGUAACAGCGGGGACCACGGCCAGCGCAGGGGGAUGAGCGCGUCCGGAGAUAACGGGCGGACUGCGCCAAGCCCUCUCGGCUGGACCUCCAGCGCUCCGACUCGGGCCUCAGUUAUCGUCCAGGUCCCCCAGCACGGCUCCAAAAGUGACAGCCACGUGGAUCCCCACGCGCGCGAGGCGGGGGAUGGAAGGUUGGAGGGGUGCGGGGCUGGCAGAGCGCCCUAGAGGGUUAACCGGGGCCCGAGUCCGUGCCCGAGCGCCGGCUGCCGGGC
Molecule: long non-coding RNA, 1100 nt
Filed under: Heterocephalus glaber (naked mole-rat)
Lineage: Eukaryota; Metazoa; Chordata; Mammalia; Rodentia; Bathyergidae
Description: lncRNA (ENSHGLG00100047711.1)
Source: RNAcentral